This 22-nucleotide non-coding RNA is filed under the name Rattus norvegicus (Norway rat). The record is from RNAcentral. Lineage: Eukaryota; Metazoa; Chordata; Mammalia; Rodentia; Muridae.
UUUAAAAGGGAAACUGUUGCCA